AACGAACGCUGGCGGCAUGCCUAACACAUGCAAGUCGAACGGGAUCCUAGCUUGCUAGGUGAGAGUGGCGGACGGGUGAGUAACACGUGGGAAUCUGCCUUUUGGUUCGGGAUAACCGCGGGAAACUGCGGCUAAUACCGAAUGCCCUCGAGAGAGGAAAGAUUUAUCGCCAGAAGAGGAGCCCGCGUCCGAUUAGGUAGUUGGUGGGGUAAAGGCCUACCAAGCCGACGAUCGGUAGCUGGUCUGAGAGGAUGAUCAGCCACACUGGGACUGAGAUACGGCCCAGACUCCUACGGGAGGCAGCAGUGGGGAAUAUUGGACAAUGGGGGCAACCCUGAUCCAGCAAUGCCGCGUGAGUGAAGAAGGCCUGGUGUAAGCUCUUUUGUUCUAGGGAAGGAAACGGUA
Molecule: ribosomal RNA, 405 nt
Filed under: uncultured bacterium
Lineage: Bacteria
Description: bacterial SSU rRNA
Rfam family: Bacterial small subunit ribosomal RNA
Source: RNAcentral